This is a non-coding RNA of Mycena polygramma, 92 nucleotides long. The record is from the annotation of a GenBank genome assembly. NCBI's taxonomy places the organism in Eukaryota, Fungi, Basidiomycota, Agaricomycetes, Agaricales, Mycenaceae.
AGCAGUAUAGUGUACGGAAGCACACGGGGUUUUCUUGAGCGCUCCCCCUGACAUUGAAUCCCGAAGUCCUUGUUCAAAUCAAGGUACUGCUC